Molecule: transfer RNA, 72 nt
Filed under: Biomphalaria glabrata
Lineage: Eukaryota; Metazoa; Mollusca; Gastropoda; Planorbidae
Rfam family: tRNA
About the family: Transfer RNA (tRNA) molecules are approximately 80 nucleotides in length. Their secondary structure includes four short double-helical elements and three loops (D, anti-codon, and T loops). Further hydrogen bonds mediate the characteristic L-shaped molecular structure. tRNAs have two regions of fundamental functional importance: the anti-codon, which is responsible for specific mRNA codon recognition, and the 3' end, to which the tRNAs corresponding amino acid is attached (by aminoacyl-tRNA synthetases). tRNAs cope with the degeneracy of the genetic code in two manners: having more than one tRNA (with a specific anti-codon) for a particular amino acid; and 'wobble' base-pairing, i.e. permitting non-standard base-pairing at the 3rd anti-codon position.
Source: Rfam by way of RNAcentral
GGCGUGGUGGCUGAGUGGUAAAGCGCUUGGCCUCUGAAUCAGGAGUCCUGGGUUCAAAUCCUGGUGAAGACU